This 245-nucleotide ribosomal RNA is filed under the name uncultured Eubacteriales bacterium. Its description in RNAcentral is "uncultured Clostridiales bacterium partial 16S ribosomal RNA". It matches the Rfam family "Bacterial small subunit ribosomal RNA", at positions 524 to 768 of the family's 1533-position model. Lineage: Bacteria; Bacillati; Bacillota; Clostridia; Eubacteriales. The record is from RNAcentral.
UACGUAGGGAGCAAGCGUUGUCCGGAAUGACUGGGCGUAAAGGGUGUGUAGGUGGUUUGGCAAGUUAGAAGUGUAAUACCUAGGCUUAACUUAGGUGCUGCUUUUAAAACUGUUAGACUUGAGUGCAGUAGAGGUUAGUGGAAUUCCUAGUGUAGCGGUGGAAUGCGUAGAUAUUAGGAGGAACACCAGAGGCGAAGGCGGCUAACUGGACUGUAACUGACACUGAGACACGAAAGUGUGGGGAG